GGACGGGGCCCGCACAAGCGGUGGAGCAUGUGGUUUAAUUCGACGCAACGCGAAGAACCUUACCAGGGCUUGACAUCCCCUGACCGCGUAUGAAAGUACGUUUUCACCCUCGGGUGACAGGGAGACAGGUGGUGCAUGGUUGUCGUCAGCUCGUGUCGUGAGAUGUUGGGUUAAGUCCCGCAACGAGCGCAACCCCUACGUUUAGUUGCUAACGCGUGAAGGCGGGCACUCUAGACGAACUGCCGUUGACAAAACGGAGGAAGUGGGAUGACGUCAAAUCAUCAUGCCCCUUAUGUUCUGGGCUACACACGUGCUACAAUGGCCGGUACAGACGGACGCAAAGCCGCGAGGUGGAGCAAAUCCUAAAAAGCCGGUCUCAGUUCGGAUUGCAGGCUGCAAUUCGCCUGCAUGAAGUCGGAAUCGCUAGUAAUCGCAGGUCAGCAUACUGCGGUGAAUACGUUCCCGGGCCUU
Molecule: ribosomal RNA, 471 nt
Filed under: uncultured Pelotomaculum sp.
Lineage: Bacteria; Bacillati; Bacillota; Clostridia; Eubacteriales; Desulfotomaculaceae
Description: bacterial SSU rRNA
Rfam family: Bacterial small subunit ribosomal RNA
Source: RNAcentral